Microtus ochrogaster (prairie vole) is the source of this 121-nucleotide small nucleolar RNA. Lineage: Eukaryota; Metazoa; Chordata; Mammalia; Rodentia; Cricetidae. The record is from Ensembl.
GUCCAAACUGAUGUAUCUAGAAGAUAACUCCUGUUUCAGGACUGUAGAAACUUGGAAGAUAAUCUGGCAUGCCUGAGGUCUGGGGAACAAGGGUUGCUUAUGCCUUUGCCUGCCUAUAUGU